AUUGAACGCUGGCGGCAUGCUUUACACAUGCAAGUCGAACGGUAACAGGCCUUCGGGUGCUGACGAGUGGCGCACGGGUGAGUAAUGCAUCGGAACGUACCCAGAGGUGGGGGAUAACGCAGCGAAAGCUGUGCUAAUACCGCAUGUGAUCUGAGGAUGAAAGCGGGGGACCGAGCAGCAAUGUUUGGCCUCGCGCCUUUGGAGCGGCCGAUGUCGGAUUAGCUAGUUGGUGGGGUAAAGGCCUACCAAGGCGACGAUCCGUAGCUGGUCUGAGAGGACGACCAGCCACACUGGGACUGAGACACGGCCCAGACUCCUACGGGAGGCAGCAGUGGGGAAUUUUGGACAAUGGGCGCAAGCCUGAUCCAGCAAUGCCGCGUGCGGGAAGAAGGCCUUCGGGUUGUAAACCGCUUUUGGCAGGAACGAAACGGUGUCCGCUAAUACCGGGCGCUAAUGACGGUACCUGCAGAAUAAGCACCGGCUAACUAUGUG
Molecule: ribosomal RNA, 492 nt
Filed under: uncultured bacterium
Lineage: Bacteria
Description: partial 16S ribosomal RNA
Rfam family: Bacterial small subunit ribosomal RNA
Source: RNAcentral